Molecule: ribosomal RNA, 439 nt
Filed under: uncultured bacterium
Lineage: Bacteria
Description: partial 16S ribosomal RNA
Rfam family: Bacterial small subunit ribosomal RNA
Source: RNAcentral
CUACGGGACGCUCCAGUGAUGAAUAUUGCACAAUGGGGGGAACCCUGAUGCAGCAACGCCGCGUGGAGGAUGACGCAUUUCGGUGUGUAAACUCCUUUUAUAUGUCAAGAAAAUGACGGUAGCAUAUGAAUAAGCACCGGCUAACUCCGUGCCAGCAGCCGCGGUACUACGGAGGGUGCAAGCGUUACUCGGAAUCACUGGGCGUAAAGGACGCGUAGGCGGGUUGGAAAGUCAGGUGUGAAAUCCUACAGCUUAACUGUAGAACUGCACUUGAAACUUCUAAUCUAGAGUAUGGGAGGGGGAGAUGGAAUUAGUGGUGUAGGGGUAAAAUCCGUAGAUAUCACUAGGAAUACCUAAAGCGAAGGCGAUCUCCUGGAACAUUACUGACGCUAAGGCGUGAAAGCGUGGGGAGCAAACAGGAUUAGAUACCCGGGUAGUC